RNAcentral lists this ribosomal RNA (492 nucleotides) under uncultured bacterium. RNAcentral's name for it is "partial 16S ribosomal RNA". It matches the Rfam family "Bacterial small subunit ribosomal RNA", at positions 29 to 507 of the family's 1533-position model. The record is from RNAcentral.
AGUGAACGCUGGCGGUAGGCCUAACACAUGCAAGUCGAACGGCAGCACAGUAAGAGCUUGCUCUUACGGGUGGCGAGUGGCGGACGGGUGAGGAAUACAUCGGAAUCUACUUUUUCGUGGGGGAUAACGUAGGGAAACUUACGCUAAUACCGCAUACGACCUACGAGUGGAAGCAGGGGAUCUUCGGACCUUGCGCGAUUGAAUGAGCCGAUGUCGGAUUAGCUAGUUGGCGGGGUAAAGGCCCACCAAGGCGACGAUCCGUAGCUGGUCUGAGAGGAUGAUCAGCCACACUGGAACUGAGACACGGUCCAGACUCCUACGGGAGGCAGCAGUGGGGAAUAUUGGACAAUGGGCGCAAGCCUGAUCCAGCCAUACCGCGUGGGUGAAGAAGGCCUUCGGGUUGUAAAGCCCUUUUGUUGGGAAAGAAAAGCAGCAGGUUAAUACCCCGCUGUUCUGACGGUACCCAAAGAAUAAGCACCGGCUAACUUCGUG